Long non-coding RNA from Stylophora pistillata, 665 nucleotides. Lineage: Eukaryota; Metazoa; Cnidaria; Anthozoa; Scleractinia; Pocilloporidae. The record is from RefSeq and is a predicted model, not a curated record.
UCCUACAAUCUCUUCAACUCUUCACAAAGGCAAUCAGGUCCAUGAGCGGUCAGUCACAGUUUAUGCGAAAGGCUUUAAUGCCGCCAAAAUGCAAACGAGGUGAGUCAAGAUGUUUUAUCUUCGAUUCCACUUUACGGAAAAUUUAAAUCGAUAAAAGAUUUCAAACUAGUGAGUUGAUAAACUUAUGAGUCAAACUAAUGAGUUGAUAAGCUUUCUUCUGGUACAUUUGACCUGUUAUGAUAUCAUUUUGGACAGGACCACGUGCUCACUUGUAUUCUCGACUAUCCUUUUUAGCUCACUCGAGUUGUCCUCGUUGAAUGAAGCUGACUCUGGCGUAUGUCAUGAGCGGAGGUGAUUUCGGGUACUGCCCAAACCCUAACAUUUCACUGACUGUGUCUGCAGAUAAUAAAAUCUAAGGCCUCACAGACCUGGUGGUAUCGAUGUUACAAGAUUGAGGCCUCGACAGCGUAAACAGGUCUUCAAAAAGAAAGAAAGAAAAAAACAGACUCGAAAGUAAUUUGGCAAGCUUUGGCAUGGGGAAGAUCCUGGCAGGAAGUAGAGGGAAAGACCUUGUUAAAUCCUCACCCCCAUUGUUCUCUGCAAAGUCUACCGGCCAAGUUGAUCUUAAAAGAAAUUUGUGCGUAAUUUCAUUCAUCUUGGUGAAG